Molecule: small nucleolar RNA, 134 nt
Organism: Artibeus jamaicensis (Jamaican fruit-eating bat)
Lineage: Eukaryota; Metazoa; Chordata; Mammalia; Chiroptera; Phyllostomidae
Product: small nucleolar RNA SNORA51
Exons: 1
Source: RefSeq, a predicted model, not a curated record
CACCUCUUGGUGCUUACCACAGGCUCUGUGUUCUUACACUGCCUGUACAGAAAGAGGAGGCAGAGUAAACCCACUCCGUGUACGCCUCAGCCCAGGACCUUUGCCUGGUCUGUACUGUGAAUGGGGGGACACAA